AUUUUGGAGUGUUUCUGUGGGAAUGCUUGCCCAUUCAUCCAGUAGAGCAUUUGUGAGGUCAGGCACUGAUGUUGGACGGCAAGGCCUGGCUUAUAGUCUCUGUUCCAGUUAACCUCAAAGGUAUUCGAUGGGGUUGAGGUCAGAGCUCUGUGCGUGCCAGUCAAGUUCUUCCAAACUCAUUCAAUCUUUAUGAACCUUGUUUUGUGCACUGGGGCACAGUCAUG
This is a non-coding RNA of Pelobates cultripes (western spadefoot toad), 224 nucleotides long. NCBI's taxonomy places the organism in Eukaryota, Metazoa, Chordata, Amphibia, Anura, Pelobatidae. The record is from the annotation of a GenBank genome assembly.